Molecule: microRNA precursor, 91 nt
Filed under: Petromyzon marinus (sea lamprey)
Lineage: Eukaryota; Metazoa; Chordata; Hyperoartia; Petromyzontiformes; Petromyzontidae
Description: miRNA (ENSPMAG00000010613.1)
Source: RNAcentral
GCCGCCCCGCGCUUCCUCCUCCAGUAUGAGCAGCCUGGGGGGCGUCGGCGGCGGCGGCGGCGGCGGCGGCGGCGGCGGCGGCGGCGGCGUC